This 406-nucleotide ribosomal RNA is filed under the name uncultured bacterium. RNAcentral describes it as "partial 16S ribosomal RNA". It matches the Rfam family "Bacterial small subunit ribosomal RNA", at positions 30 to 526 of the family's 1533-position model. The record is from RNAcentral.
AUUGAACGCUGGCGGCAGGCCUAACACAUGCAAGUCGAACGAGUGGCGGACGGGUGAGUAAUGUCUGGGAAAAUGCCCGAUGGCGGGGGAUAACUACUGGAAACGGUAGCUAAUACCGCAUACCAUCGGAUGUGCACAGAUGGGGUUAGCUAGUGGGUGGGGUAACGGCUCACCUAGGCGACGAUCCCUAGCUGGUCUGAGAGGAUGACCGGCCACACUGGAACUGAGACACGGUCCAGGCUCCUACGGGAGGCAGCAGUGGGGAAUAUUGCACAAUGGGCGCAAGCCUGAUGCAGCCAUGCCGCGUGUAUGAAGAAGGCCUUCGGGUUGUAAAGUACUUUCAGCGGGGAGGCGGUACUCGCAGAAGAAGCACCGGCUAACUCCGUGCCAGCCGCCGCGGUAAUAC